UUAAGUCUCAAAAUCCAAAUGAACCGAACAAGAUCGACUCGAACUAGACGUCAAUUAAUGCACGCGUGUCACCUGAUCCACAUAUGCACGGAUUCUUUUUUGCAUGAGAAAUUUAUGAUAUAUUAAUGCAGAACAAAACAUUUUUAGUAUUUGUCAGUAUUUGUAAAAAUCGCUGCACAUUUAUUUAAUCCUGAAUUCCACAGACUCAAAUUGAAAGGCAUUUGUUUGUGGUUAGUAAGAUACAUGUAUAAAAUGUAUGCAGUACAUGGAUAAUUGUGCGUGCGUCUAUUAAUCAUUUUGAGCCUAAUAUCAUCCCAUAGCACUCACUCACCCUGUUGAAGAGCAGCAGGUGGCGGUGCAGCGGCGUCACGAGUGGGUAAUGGCAGGCAGGGGGCGUCGCUGAGCUCUACAAACAUCAGGUUUGUCAAUCAGCUUUCAGUGGACAAUGCGACUGACACGUGUAGGAAUGAUGCACACAGAUCACGACACAAGAACAGAUAAAGGUGACACGCAGCCAUGACAGAUGCAAUGCUAAAGGUGCUAAGAUAGGCUUACGUCCCACACGGAGUCCAGACAGCGCAGCGGCCGACACACACACAGCUCUGUGACUGGAGGAGAAACAGGUGUUAGAUAGCCCAUAUUAGAUCAGCCUCUGCCACUGCCAACACACACAUACACACACACACACACACACACACACACACACACUCUCUCUCUCACGCACUCAGUCACUCACUCACACACACACACACACACACACACACAGUGAUGCCGCUGUGAGCCUGCGUGAGGAAACAUCAUGCGUGAAGGCAUGUUUACAAAGAACCAUUCAGUCCAACAAACCAGAGACAGAAGAUGUGCAGGAACCUUCUGAGACAUUAUGUCUCAUCACGAGCAGAACACUGUCUUCAUUGGGUCACACUGCAGGUUUUAUGAAGAUCACAGAUCAUUCCUGACCUUGGUCCCUGCCGGCGGUCAGUCUGAGGAUCUCCUCUCUCAGUCCGGCCAUCUCCUGCUCGAGCUCUCUGUUCCUGCGCUCGGCUUUGUGCACACGCCUGGAGAACAUCAACAGCACUGUAUUUACUAGCAGUACAUCAAUACUAC
RNAcentral lists this long non-coding RNA (1104 nucleotides) under Sinocyclocheilus grahami. RNAcentral describes it as "lncRNA (ENSSGRG00000040956.1)". Lineage: Eukaryota; Metazoa; Chordata; Actinopteri; Cypriniformes; Cyprinidae. The record is from RNAcentral.